This is a non-coding RNA of Pogona vitticeps (central bearded dragon), 1262 nucleotides long. The record is from RefSeq and is a predicted model, not a curated record. Lineage: Eukaryota; Metazoa; Chordata; Lepidosauria; Squamata; Agamidae.
UGAAGGGAGCACAUCUCUGUGUAUCUCGCUCUGUGCCCCAUCGUUUGGCUCAGGCGGGUGAGAAAACUACCCUCCCCAGAAUCAUGACAGGAAAUGAUGCAGUAUGCUUGAUCAAGAAGGCUGUCGUUCCCGGCUCAGAGGCAGACGUCCAGCGCAUUUUGCCUGUGAAGUCUCUUGGCAGGCAGCUGCCUCUCCUGAGCCGUAAAGAAGGACACUGUGAUUCCAUCUGAAUGUCAGCCAUGAAAGUCCUUUACUGCCUUUCUGUUGUGAUCUUCUUACUUCAGGCUGUUCAAGAGGGCAGCCUGGUGGAAGCGAUGCUGCUGACGUGUGUCUCCCUGGGUGGCGUCUGCAUCCUGCAGCCGAAUCAGAUGUGUCCUUCGGAUCUCAUCCUGGAUGUGCCUUGCCGUUUUGGCAGAAAAUGCUGCUCCAAGGGAGAGAUUUAACCUGCACCCUUUUGGAUUGUAUCUGUUUAUGAAUGGAGGACUCGGAACAUCUCCCUGGGGAUGUUUCAAACAGAAAUUCAUUCAAUUCCAUCGAUUUUUCCGAAUCUGGCGCACUGAGAUGUUUUUUUGCUGAGAGACACCAAACUGGACUGAGAUUUCCUCGGGUUUCCACGAGAGUGAGACGCUGUCCAUGUUUGGUACCUCAAAUCUACCACUGAAACGGGCCACCCUGCUACAUGGUCGGAAACUACUGUUUCCACCCCCUCUUGGCCCCCCCAAAGAAGAUGCUGGGAUACCAGAUGGGGAUUCUUGUGGCCAAAUCCAGCCCGCGGAAUGGAGGUUGUUAACCACUCGUUCAGAAAACACUGAACAGCCCUAUUCUCAUUUCUUAGCCUGUAUAAUUCACUCGAUUGGAUUCCCAUCCCAUAAUGUGAGAAGAAACAGGAGAAGGGCUUUAUAAUGGAAAGUUGGAUGACGUUUAACCUCAUAAGAGCUGGGAUUCUACCAGGAAAAAGAGCACAGUUAUGGCUACGCAUACUGAGAAGAUUCAAGGACUUGUAAUCCAGAAAACCUUUUUUUUUCCUAAGAAGGGAGACCAAUAUUUUCAGAAACCAGCAAAGUUGGAUUGCUGGGGAUCAAGAACGCUGAACACCUUUUCUUCCGGGAAUAGAUAUAAAUGAAGUCUUAAAAAAUGAAACAAAACCCUUGUUUUUCAUUGUAAAGUUUUGAUAGCCUAUUUUAUAAAGAUUACAUUUUCUUCUAAAAGAGAAUAGAGGAAGGCAACACCUUUUGUGCUGGAAUGAAGAAGGGAUUAUUAAA